Molecule: long non-coding RNA, 654 nt
Organism: Brassica oleracea var. oleracea
Lineage: Eukaryota; Viridiplantae; Streptophyta; Magnoliopsida; Brassicales; Brassicaceae
Exons: 2
Source: RefSeq, a predicted model, not a curated record
UUUCUUACUGCACAUGGUGUAGAAAAAUACCUAGUUGCAAAUAAUAUCUAGGGGAUUUGUUUACAUCAAUAGACAAUGAUCUGGAUGAGAAAUAAAUGAGAAGAUUUUAUUCCUUUUUCUGUUAUGUUGAUAUUUUUCUAUUCAAACUUUUUCGGUCAAAAUCAUAUUUCUAGUUACUAUUUACAGGUUUAUGCAAUUUAUAAAUACAUCAUUUUUAUGGUCAACUAAUGGACAUUAAACUAAAUCUCAGAAAUAUAAAAAAUUUGUUUGGUAAGAAACUGAGUAUUUUUUUUUUGAAAGUUUAUAUGGGUUCUUUCAGAUUGAUGGUUACUUUCACUCUUGUUGCUAUGGCGGUCAUUUCAUGUGAUCUUUUCAAUCUUGAAACGGGGAUCUUUGUGCAAGCUGCGGGUCCGAUAUGUGGACAAGUUUGUUCUGAAAAAUUUGAAGAUGAAAAAUGCUAUAAAUAUUGUGUAGGAUUGUCUUAUAAAAACGGUUUUUGCUUUCAAUCCGAUCCUAAAACUUCUACACUUCACUGUUGUUGUGCAAACGAAUAAAAUAUGUAAUAUGUCCUCUCUCAUCAAAUAUGUUGUGUCCUCAAGUCUUUAACUAUGGUGUUCUCUUUUUCGGUGGAAAAAGAUCAAAUAAGUGUGAACG